AAAAAGACAAACCCUGAGUUUCCGUGUCCAACGUUUAACUAUCCGUCUUAUUUGAAAAAAUUAAGAAAAAAAAUUAAAAAAGACAAGUCACGCAUAAAGUAUUAAUCAUGUUUUAUCAUCUAACAACAAUGAAAAUACUAAUUAUAAAAAAAUUUCAUAUAAGACGGACAGUCAAACGUUGGACACGAAAACUCAGGAUUUGGCUUUUU
Molecule: microRNA precursor, 209 nt
Organism: Oryza sativa Japonica Group (Japanese rice)
Lineage: Eukaryota; Viridiplantae; Streptophyta; Magnoliopsida; Poales; Poaceae
Rfam family: MIR812 microRNA precursor family
Source: Rfam